UUUUUGCGUGAGGGAUUGCAGUGAAAAUCCUUUUGGCGCGGCACAAGCCAAAAGAUUGCAACGUAAAGCCCGACCCUUG
This 79-nucleotide small RNA is filed under the name Lutibacter agarilyticus. RNAcentral's name for it is "Lutibacter sp. KYW566 Flavo-1 RNA". It matches the Rfam family "Flavo-1 RNA". Lineage: Bacteria; Pseudomonadati; Bacteroidota; Flavobacteriia; Flavobacteriales; Flavobacteriaceae. The record is from Rfam by way of RNAcentral.